This 527-nucleotide ribosomal RNA is filed under the name uncultured bacterium. Its description in RNAcentral is "bacterial SSU rRNA". It matches the Rfam family "Bacterial small subunit ribosomal RNA", at positions 777 to 1304 of the family's 1533-position model. The record is from RNAcentral.
AAUAGAUACCCGGGUAGUCCACGCCGUAAACGAUGAGUGCUAAGUGUUGGAGGGUUUCCGCCCUUCAGUGCUGCAGCUAACGCAUUAAGCACUCCGCCUGGGGAGUACGGUCGCAAGACUGAAACUCAAGGGAAUUGACGGGGGCCCGCACAAGCGGUGGAGCAUGUGGUUUAAUUCGAAGCAACGCGAAGAACCUUACCAGGUCUUGACAUCCUCUGACAAUCCUAGAGAUAGGACGUUCCCUUCGGGGACAGAGUGACAGGUGGUGCAUGGUUGUCGUCAGCUCGUGUCGUGAGAUGUUGGGUUAAGUCCCGCAACGAGCGCAACCCUUGUCCUUAGUUGCCAGCAUUCAGUUGGGCACUCUAAGGAGACUGCCGGUGACAAACCGGAGGAAGGUGGGGAUGACGUCAAAUCAUCAUGCCCCUUAUGACCUGGGCUACACACGUGCUACAAUGGAUGGUACAAAGGGCUGCGAAACCGCGAGGUUGAGCCAAUCCCAUAAAGCCAUUCUCAGUUCGGAUUGUAGG